This 256-nucleotide ribosomal RNA is filed under the name uncultured bacterium. RNAcentral's name for it is "partial 16S ribosomal RNA". It matches the Rfam family "Bacterial small subunit ribosomal RNA", at positions 524 to 779 of the family's 1533-position model. The record is from RNAcentral.
UACGUAGGGUGCGAGCGUUAAUCGGAAUUACUGGGCGUAAAGCGUGCGCAGGCGGUUUUGUAAGCCAGAUGUGAAAGCCCCGGGCUUAACCUGGGAAUGGCAUUUGGGACUGCAAGGCUUGAGUGCGGCAGAGGAGACUGGAAUUCCUGGUGUAGCAGUGAAAUGCGUAGAUAUCAGGAGGAAUACCGAUGGCGAAGGCAGGUCUCUGGGCUGACACUGACGCUCAUGCACGAAAGCGUGGGGAGCAAACGAGGAU